CCCUACUGCUAUCGGGGGAGGACUAAAACAUGCAAGUCGUGCGCCUCCAAGCUAUGAUGGAGACGCGGCGUACAGCUCAGUAACACGUGGCUAACCCACCCUUGAGACGGAGACAACCCCGGGAAACUGGGGCUAAUCCCCGAUAGGAGAAGACACCUGGAAUGGGUCUUCUCCCAAAAGGCGUUUAGGCCAUGCUUCUAGAUGUCGCUCAAGAACGGGGCCGCGGCCGAUCAGGUUGUUGGUGAGGCAAUGGCUCACAAAGCCUAUAACCGGUACGGGCCGUGAGAGCGGGAGCCCGGAGAUGGGCACUGAGACAAGGGCCCAGGCCCUACGGGGCGCAGCAGUUGCGAAAACUCCGCAAUGCACGAAAGUGUGACGGGGCUACCCCGAGUGCCGUCCGCUGAGGGCGGCUUUUCCCCGGUGUAAGGAGCUGGGGGAAUAAGGAGAGGGCAAGUCUGGUGUCAGCCGCCGCGGUAAUACCAGCUCUCCGAGUGGUAGGGAUGAUUAUUGGGCUUAAAGCGUCCGUAGCUGGCCUAGCAAGUCUUCCGUUAAAUCCACCGAUUUAAUCGUUGGACUGCGGGAGAUACUGUUGGGCUAGGGGGUGGGAGAGGCCGACGGUAUUCUCGGGGUAGGGGUAAAA
This 640-nucleotide ribosomal RNA is filed under the name uncultured archaeon. Its description in RNAcentral is "bacterial SSU rRNA". It matches the Rfam family "Archaeal small subunit ribosomal RNA", at positions 21 to 637 of the family's 1478-position model. The record is from RNAcentral.